UAGUAUGGUCCACAGUUAUAUCAG
This 24-nucleotide non-coding RNA is filed under the name Mus musculus (house mouse). Lineage: Eukaryota; Metazoa; Chordata; Mammalia; Rodentia; Muridae. The record is from RNAcentral.